GACGAACGCUGGCGGCGUGCUUAACACAUGCAAGUCGAACGGAGUUACGUAUGAAGUAUUUCGGUACGGACUAUGUAACUUAGUGGCGAACGGGUGAGUAACACGUGGGCAACCUGCCCUUAACCGGGGGAUAACAUUGUGAAAACAGUGCUAAUACCGCAUAACAGAGUAUCGGGCAUCCGAUAUUUUUAAAAGGAGCAAUCCGGUUUUGGAUGGGCCCGCGUCCAAUUAGCUAGUUGGUGAGGUAACGGCUCACCAAGGCUACGAUUGGUAGCCGAACUGAGAGGUUGAUCGGCCACAUUGGGACUGAGACACGGCCCAGACUCCUACGGGAGGCAGCAGUGGGGGAAUAUUGGGCAAUGGGCGAAAGCCUGACCCAGCGACGCCGCGUGAAGGAUGAAGGUCUUCGGAUUGUAAACUUACUUUGUAUCAGGGAAGAAAAGAAAAUAGACGGUAACCUGAAGAAACAAAGACCACGGCUAAACCUACGUAGCCAGCAGCCGCGGUAAAACGGUAGUGUGUA
This 523-nucleotide ribosomal RNA is filed under the name uncultured bacterium. Its description in RNAcentral is "bacterial SSU rRNA". It matches the Rfam family "Bacterial small subunit ribosomal RNA", at positions 28 to 536 of the family's 1533-position model. The record is from RNAcentral.